GAUGAAGAACGUAGCGAAAUGCGAUACUUGGUGUGAAUUGCAGAAUCCCGUGAACCAUCGAGUCUUUGAACGCAAGUUGCGCCCGAAGCCACUAGGCCGAGGGCACGCCUGCCUGGGCGUCACACGCCGUUGCCCCCCCAUCUACUCCUUCGGGAUUGCGGGGGGGCGGAUGAUGGCCUCCUGUGCGCCUAGCCGCGCGGUUGGCAUAAAUACCAAGUCCUCGGCGACGAACGCCACGACAAUCGGUGGUUGCGAAACCUCGGUUGCCCGUCGUGUGCGUUCGUCGCGCAUCGAGGGCUCGAAAAAAUGCUCGGCUCCGGCUGGGCUUUCAACGCGACCCCAGGUCAGGCGGGGUUACCCGCUGAAUUUAAGCAUAUCAAUAAGCGGAGGA
RNAcentral lists this unclassified non-coding RNA (391 nucleotides) under soil metagenome. RNAcentral describes it as "partial contains 5.8S ribosomal RNA, internal transcribed spacer 2, and large subunit ribosomal RNA". The stretch from base 1 to 122 matches the Rfam family "5.8S ribosomal RNA", at positions 35 to 154 of the family's 154-position model. The record is from RNAcentral.